ACGAACGCUGGCGGCGUGCCUAACACAUGCAAGUCGAGCGAGAAAGCCCUUUCGGGGGUUAGUAAAGCGGCGGACGGGUGAGUAACACGUGAGCGAUCUACCCAAGGGUGGGGGACAACUCAGGGAAACUUGAGCUAAUACCGCGUACAGCGCCGGCUUGGAAGCCUGGCGUGAAAGCUGGCCUCUACUUGUAAGCUAGCGCCUUUGGAUGAGCUCGCGGCCUAUCAGCUUGUUGGUGGGGUAAUGGCCUACCAAGGCGAUGACGGGUAGCUGGCGUGAGAGCGCGACCAGCCACACUGGGACUGAGACACGGCCCAGACUCCUACGGGAGGCAGCAGUGGGGAAUAUUGCGCAAUGGGCGAAAGCCUGACGCAGCGACGCCGCGUGGGGGAGGAAGGCCUCAGGGUUGUAAACCCCUGUCAGGUGGGACGAAACCCGUAGUGUCUAAUAGGCAUUACGACUGACGGUACCACCAGAGGAAGCUCCGGCUAACUCCGUGCCAGCAGCCGCGGUAAUACGGGGGGAGCAAGCGUUGUUCGGAAUUACUGGGCGUAAAGGGCGCGUAGGCGGCCAGGUCAGUCGCAUGUGAAAGGCCGGGGCUCAACCCCGAGC
Molecule: ribosomal RNA, 612 nt
Filed under: uncultured bacterium
Lineage: Bacteria
Description: bacterial SSU rRNA
Rfam family: Bacterial small subunit ribosomal RNA
Source: RNAcentral